Molecule: transfer RNA, 74 nt
Filed under: alpha proteobacterium HIMB59
Lineage: Bacteria; Pseudomonadati; Pseudomonadota; Alphaproteobacteria; Candidatus Pelagibacterales; Candidatus Pelagibacteraceae
Also listed under: 3 other names
Description: tRNA-Cys (GCA) (tRNA-Cys-GCA-1-1)
Rfam family: tRNA
About the family: Transfer RNA (tRNA) molecules are approximately 80 nucleotides in length. Their secondary structure includes four short double-helical elements and three loops (D, anti-codon, and T loops).
Source: RNAcentral
GGCCCGCUGGCAGAUUGGUUAUGCAGAGGACUGCAAAUCCUUGUAGCUCGGUUCGAUUCCGGGGUGGGCCUCCA